CUGCAAUAAAAACACAUACCCCUUUAAAUAGACGAAGACCGAAAAAUCAAAGAGGACUUUCAGUUCAACAACUCCUGAAAACCCAAAACAAUAAUAGUUGCACACUACUGCUCAACACAAAUGGCUUGAAAGUUCUCAGCUACCGAUGAACCAUUGCUAAUAGUUCAAUGAUUUUGAGAUUUUCUAACUUAAAAAAAAAAAAAAGAGGAAGCACAGUAAGGCAGUGCUCUGAAAUCAUCUAUAAUUGAAAUUUAAAAUUAGUUGCUAAUACUAAUAUUAUGCACAACCAACAUCAAUAACUACUAUCCUCCUAAAAGGCACUUAUUUUAUAGCUUGGCUUACUAACCAUAACAAACAAGAUAAUGUGAACAUUUAUUGAGCUGAAUCCGAGUAGCUCACAAGGGUCUCAACUUUUGUAACCUUAGCUCAAGGCAUGAUUUUGUAGUGGAUGACAAUGAACUUAGAUAAACAAAAUAAAGGCCAAGAAAAAACUGGAAGAAAUAAAAGAUGUUGAACCAACCACAGGGCACUUGUAUCAGCUUACAUUCAAAUGGGAAUUUCAUGAUGCUUAAGAGAGAGACAUGCAAGCUUUCAUAACUUAAAAGUUUUCUAAUUUAAUGUAGUUUCCUUAUAAUUAAGCUUGACGAAAGAACAUUAAUAACAAAAUUCAUUCAGAACACAUGUCUACAUUUAUAACAUCCAACUACUUGAUGAAUUCCUUCAUACCAAAGUUUAUAAGCACAGUUUUUAAUACCUAGAUCAUGAAGGUCUCGUUUCUGAGGUACUUAUAGCUGAAAAGUUAUGUAUUCCAGAAAAAAAUCAAAAUAAAUUGCAUUAUUGUUGUAGAACAGCUCAGCCAAGGACAAGGAAAAAUCUAAUCUUAUGUUUGGAUUGAGGGAUUUGACACUAUGGAUUUGGAGUUGGACUAAAUACAUUGGUUGGAUAUUAUAAAUAAAAAUGGAUUUGGAUUUGGUCCAAAUCCCAUUUAUUCAUGAUAAGCUUAAAAACUAAAGAUUUAAAUAACUACUUUUACUUCUUAUUUCAAAUCCAUCCUACUACAAUCAAAUGUAUCAGCUUUACAUGAUAUAAUAACUUCUAGUCACUUCAAUGGAAAUUAUUUUUAUUAGCCAAACAAAAGAUUUUUAAAUUUAUGAUUUUCAAAUUCUAAAUUUUAAAUCAAACGUUUGAAAUCCAAAUCUGAGAAUCCAAAGGCAACCUAAUAAAAAUUGAAAAUAACUAGUAAGAUUUGAAAUUGAUGAAUUCAAAAG
Molecule: unclassified non-coding RNA, 1268 nt
Filed under: Hevea brasiliensis (rubber tree)
Lineage: Eukaryota; Viridiplantae; Streptophyta; Magnoliopsida; Malpighiales; Euphorbiaceae
Source: RNAcentral